Molecule: transfer RNA, 72 nt
Filed under: bacterium
Lineage: Bacteria
Also listed under: 3 other names
Description: tRNA-Thr
Rfam family: tRNA
About the family: Transfer RNA (tRNA) molecules are approximately 80 nucleotides in length. Their secondary structure includes four short double-helical elements and three loops (D, anti-codon, and T loops).
Source: RNAcentral
GCCACCGUAGCUCAACGGCAGAGCGGCGCCUUCGUAAGGCGUAGGUUGUGGGUUCAAGUCCCUCCGGUGGCU